Molecule: non-coding RNA, 148 nt
Filed under: Gorilla gorilla gorilla (western lowland gorilla)
Lineage: Eukaryota; Metazoa; Chordata; Mammalia; Primates; Hominidae
Source: Rfam by way of RNAcentral
GCUAGGCAUGGUGGUGCGUGCCUGUAGUCCCAGCUACUCAGGAGGCUGAGGCAGGAGAAUCACUUGAACCUGGGAGGCGGAGGUUGCAGUGAGCCAAUAUUGCACCACUGCACUCCCACCUGGGUGACAGAGUGAGACUCUGUCUCAA